UGCGUAGGCGGUCUUGUAGGUCAGAUGUGAAAUCCCACGGCUCAACCGUGGAAUUGCGUUUGAAACCACAGGACUUGAGUAAGAUAGAGGUAAGCGGAACUGAUGGUGGAGCGGUGAAAUGCGUUGAUAUCAUCAGGAACACCGGUGGCGAAAGCGGCUUACUGGGUCUUUACUGACGCUGAGGCACGAAAGCUAGGGGAGCGAACAGGAUUAGAUACCCUGGUAGUCC
RNAcentral lists this ribosomal RNA (229 nucleotides) under uncultured bacterium. RNAcentral's name for it is "partial 16S ribosomal RNA". It matches the Rfam family "Bacterial small subunit ribosomal RNA", at positions 568 to 796 of the family's 1533-position model. The record is from RNAcentral.